RNAcentral lists this ribosomal RNA (492 nucleotides) under uncultured bacterium. Its description in RNAcentral is "partial 16S ribosomal RNA". It matches the Rfam family "Bacterial small subunit ribosomal RNA", at positions 29 to 507 of the family's 1533-position model. The record is from RNAcentral.
AGUGAACGCUGGCGGUAGGCCUAACACAUGCAAGUCGAACGGCAGCACAGUAAGAGCUUGCUCUUACGGGUGGCGAGUGGCGGACGAGUGAGGAAUACAUCGGAAUCUACUUUUUCGUGGGGGAUAACGUAGGGAAACUUACGCUAAUACCGCAUACGACCUUCGGGUGAAAGCAGGGGAUCUUCGGACCUUGCGCGAUUGAAUGAGCCGAUGUCGGAUUAGCUAGUUGGCGGGGUAAAGGCCCACCAAGGCGACGAUCCGUAGCUGGUCUGAGAGGAUGAUCCGCCACACUGGAACUGAGACACGGUCCAGACUCCUACGGGAGGCAGCAGUGGGGAAUAUUGGACAAUGGGCGCAAGCCUGAUCCAGCCAUACCGCGUGGGUGAAGAAGGCCUUCGGGUUGUAAAGACCUUUUGUUGGGAAAGAAAAGCAGCAGGUUAAGACCCCGCUGUUCUGACGGUACCCAAAGAAUAAGCACCGACUAACUUCGUG